This 371-nucleotide ribosomal RNA is filed under the name Salmonella enterica subsp. enterica serovar Infantis. RNAcentral's name for it is "bacterial SSU rRNA". It matches the Rfam family "Bacterial small subunit ribosomal RNA", at positions 1145 to 1515 of the family's 1533-position model. Lineage: Bacteria; Pseudomonadati; Pseudomonadota; Gammaproteobacteria; Enterobacterales; Enterobacteriaceae. The record is from RNAcentral. RNAcentral also lists the same sequence under 11 other names.
GAGACUGCCAGUGAUAAACUGGAGGAAGGUGGGGAUGACGUCAAGUCAUCAUGGCCCUUACGACCAGGGCUACACACGUGCUACAAUGGCGCAUACAAAGAGAAGCGACCUCGCGAGAGCAAGCGGACCUCAUAAAGUGCGUCGUAGUCCGGAUUGGAGUCUGCAACUCGACUCCAUGAAGUCGGAAUCGCUAGUAAUCGUGGAUCAGAAUGCCACGGUGAAUACGUUCCCGGGCCUUGUACACACCGCCCGUCACACCAUGGGAGUGGGUUGCAAAAGAAGUAGGUAGCUUAACCUUCGGGAGGGCGCUUACCACUUUGUGAUUCAUGACUGGGGUGAAGUCGUAACAAGGUAACCGUAGGGGAACCUGC